GACCUGAACCUGGAGCUUCACUCUGCGGCUGCAGCUCCAUCCUCUGUGGGGGUUGAGCACCUGCCAGGACAACAUGCCCACCUGCUCCUGCUGCACCUGUGUGAAGGUGUGAAGGUGUGAACACACAGAGCAAAACCCAUUGUCAUAUAAGCCUAUAGGUCCUGGGAAGGUGUUCCAAGGUUCCGUACUGAUGGCAGCGCUGGCUGAUGCUAUUCCAGACAGGACCAUCAGGAGACAGACACAUGACAUCACCAGGAACCCCACCACCUGAAGGGGAGAGGAAGAAUGACAAGGAGAUGUGACACUGUAAAUUCAAUUAGGGGGCCGGGGCCUUAUUUCUGUGUGAAUCCUGUGUAACUAGGGGUGUAUGUAAAAGUUUGUGAUGUCCAUUCUGCUGCUCUUGUAUGAAGCCCUCAUCACUCUUUCAUUGGUUGUAGCCUACAGGUGAGGAUAGCUAUGCAGCAGUCACUGUAAACUUUAGGGGAUGCAAAUGUAGUACAUUUCCUCGGCAAAGGACAUUACUUCCAAAAAUUAAUCUUAUUACGGAUUGAGAAAGUAAAGUGGUAGGAACACUGGGGAUCUGAGCUAUGAACUAUUGAAAACAUCUACAAGUUACCUGAAAA
Molecule: long non-coding RNA, 623 nt
Organism: Branchiostoma floridae (Florida lancelet)
Lineage: Eukaryota; Metazoa; Chordata; Leptocardii; Amphioxiformes; Branchiostomatidae
Exons: 2
Source: RefSeq, a predicted model, not a curated record